GACAGAGGGUGCGAACGUUGUUCGGAAUUACUGGGCGUAAAGCGCGUGUAGGCUGCUUGGAAAGUCGGAUGUGAAAGCCCUGGGCUCAACCCAGGAAGUGCAUUCGAAACUUCCGAGCUCGAGUCCUGGAGAGGGAAGCGGAAUUCUCGGUGUAGAGGUGAAAUUCGUAGAUAUCGAGAGGAACACCGGUGGCGAAGGCGGUUACCUGGACAGUUACUGACGCUCAGGCACGAAAGCAUGGGGAGCAAAAGGG
This 253-nucleotide ribosomal RNA is filed under the name uncultured bacterium. Its description in RNAcentral is "partial 16S ribosomal RNA". It matches the Rfam family "Bacterial small subunit ribosomal RNA", at positions 524 to 776 of the family's 1533-position model. The record is from RNAcentral.